RNAcentral lists this ribosomal RNA (255 nucleotides) under uncultured bacterium. RNAcentral describes it as "partial 16S ribosomal RNA". It matches the Rfam family "Bacterial small subunit ribosomal RNA", at positions 524 to 776 of the family's 1533-position model. The record is from RNAcentral.
UACGGAGGGUGCAAGCGUUAUCCGGAUUCACUGGGUUUAAAGGGUGCGUAGGUGGGCAGGUAAGUCCGUGGUGAAAUCUCUGAGCUUAACUCAGAAACUGCCGUGGAUACUAUUUGUCUUGAAUGUUGUGGAGGUGAGCGGAAUAUGUCAUGUAGCGGUGAAAUGCUUAGAUAUGACAUAGAACACCAAUUGCGAAGGCAGCUCACUACACAAUUAUUGACGCUGAGGCACGAAAAGCGUGGGGAUCAAAACAGG